AGACAGGAGGCAUCUCCUCAUCGGCUCAGUUCACAUUCCUCCAGGGGCUCAAAGGGGACCCAGUCCCUGUCUUGGGACACCAAGUCAGGCAGACUCCAGGAGAGAGGAAGGAAGAUGAUUCCCGCGCUCAGGUGGGCGGGUCCUGCUCCCUCUGUUGAAGACCUGAAGACAAAGAUUGACCCUCACCCUUCACCUCCCACCUCUUCCUCACCUUGGAAAAGAAAAACAUUCCUGAGAGGGGGGAUUUGUCAGCAGAAGGCUUUGGGACUAGAACUGCAGCAUCAGCUCUUCCUGGUUCCCCAGCGCCCAGGCCUACCC
Molecule: long non-coding RNA, 318 nt
Filed under: Homo sapiens (human)
Lineage: Eukaryota; Metazoa; Chordata; Mammalia; Primates; Hominidae
Description: HSALNT0309446
Source: RNAcentral